UACGAAGGACCCAAGCGUUAUCCGGAUUUAUUGGGUUUAAAGGGUGCGUAGGCGGGUUAUUAAGUCAGUGGUGAAAGCCUUCAGCUUAACUGGAGAAUUGCCAUUGAUACUGAUGAUCUUGAGUAUGAUUGAGGUGGGCGGAAUGUGUCAUGUAGCGGUGAAAAGCUUAGAUAUGACACAGAACACCGAUUGCGAAGGCAGCUCACUAAGCCAUAACUGACGCUGAUGCACGAAAGCGUGGGGAGCAAACAGG
RNAcentral lists this ribosomal RNA (253 nucleotides) under uncultured bacterium. RNAcentral's name for it is "partial 16S ribosomal RNA". It matches the Rfam family "Bacterial small subunit ribosomal RNA", at positions 524 to 776 of the family's 1533-position model. The record is from RNAcentral.